GUCUGGAAAGGCGCGCGAUACAGGGUGACAGCCCCGUACACAAAAGCGCAUGUGCUGUGAGCUCGAUGAGUAGGGCGGGACACGUGGUAUCCUGUCUGAAUAUGGGGGGACCAUCCUCCAAGGCUAAAUACUCCUGACUGACCGAUAGUGAACCAGUACCGUGAGGGAAAGGCGAAAAGAACCCCGGCGAGGGGAGUGAAAAAGAACCUGAAACCGUGUACGUACAAGCAGUGGGAGCCCCACCACCAAAGCAUUCUCUGGUGUUGAAGGCCCUGCAAAGCAGCAUCGCGGUGGCGGAGCGUCGUUUGCGACGCCCAACACACAAAACAAGCGGUGAAUGCUUUGGGGUGGGGUGACUGCGUACCUUUUGUAUAAUGGGUCAGCGACUUAUAUUCUGUAGCAAGGUUAACCGAAUAGGGGAGCCGGAGGGAAACCGAGUCUUAAUUGGGCGUUAAGUUGCAGGGUAUAGACCCGAAACCCGGUGAUCUAGCCAUGGGCAGGUUGAAGGUUGGGUAACACUAACUGGAGGACCGAACCGACUAAUGUUGAAAAAUUAGCGGAUGACCUGUGGCUGGGGGUGAAAGGCCAAUCAAACCGGGAGAUAGCUGGUUCUCCCCGAAAGCAGC
RNAcentral lists this ribosomal RNA (626 nucleotides) under Salmonella enterica. RNAcentral describes it as "partial 23S ribosomal RNA". It matches the Rfam family "Bacterial large subunit ribosomal RNA", at positions 340 to 869 of the family's 2925-position model. Lineage: Bacteria; Pseudomonadati; Pseudomonadota; Gammaproteobacteria; Enterobacterales; Enterobacteriaceae. The record is from RNAcentral.